RNAcentral lists this small RNA (1179 nucleotides) under Drosophila pseudoobscura pseudoobscura. RNAcentral describes it as "GA32959". Lineage: Eukaryota; Metazoa; Arthropoda; Insecta; Diptera; Drosophilidae. The record is from RNAcentral.
AUGCCUGUAAAAUGUGUUGCUACUGUUGAAUCUUUAAAAAAUUAAGCAAGAACUUGGGGUAACGUUUCGGGUAAUUUGUUGUAAUAUUAAUAUUUUCUCCAUAUGACAUGAUGUGGGCGCUGCCACCCUGUCACAGGGUUGCAUUCGGUUGAGGUAGUUGCCAGAUCGGCCAAAUUACUUUACAAUCAAUAAAGAGGCUCCAUCCAGUGUCUCCCAGAAAAUGCAAUAUAGUCAAAGAACCUUAUACAGAAAGCCUUUAAACAGAGCACCUCCCGGACCUAGAGUAAAGAUCGGAAUGUUGUAACUCUAACAGAAAAGCUUUAUGUGAAAGUGGCCAAAAACCUGCCUGACAAGAGAACACAAAUUCAGAAGGGAAGCCAAAUCAUGAGUAGCCUAGUUGUAGAGCAGAACAGUGUCCCAGCAAUCAAGGCGACCACGGCGAUGAAGGCGAUCUCUCGGCAGCGGUCCAAUCGAUUCAGCCCAAGUACCCUGGAUCCUCGGAAAUAGCCACGUUUAACACGCUGCAAUCUUUAAAGGUACGGAGCUGCGUCAAUGCUUUGAAAUUUGAUUUUCCUCGAUGAUGACUCAGAACGGAUAUCCGAGAAUGAUCCAAUUUGGGGGUCGCUGGGCACGAGUUACUGUGCGGCGUCUGUUCAAGGGCAUUCCAAGAUUAUGAAUUCAAUACCUGAAUUUGUGCCGCAAGAUCUCAAUGGGUCGCUGAAGGGCUGCCUACGAUCCAGAUGCCAAAAUGCCAAAAGCAUGCCCUGGCUUGGAUGUCUUCGCGUGAGAAUUAGAGUCCACGUGUCGGCAUUUUGGCCGAUGAUAUGGGCUUAAGCAAGACCCUGAAAAUGAUUUCAGGAGAGCAAAGUGAAGGAGAGAAGGGUACAAACGGAAAAGCACUGGUGGAUGGAAUUCGAAGGGCCGAAAAACUCAUCUUGGUGGCAGCUUAGUCAUGUGCCCGGCUAGCUUGCUGCGCCAGUGGGAGGGAAAUGGUCAUCAUGGCAACAAGCGCUAGACAAAGGCCAAACAAAAUCGUGAUGUUUCAGACUACAAGAAACAAGAGCAACAGAACCGUCUGCAGCUGGAAAGAAAAUUGAACAGCUUGCCCUGCAAGGAGUUGCGUAUGAUUGAGAUUUCCCUUAUCUUUUUGGUUUACACUGAUAAAAUUAGCUUAAAGUA